CACGCCCUAAACCGAAUGCGCGUUAGGUGUAUCGGUGACCACGAGUCACCGAGGUGCCGAAGGGAAACCGUGAAACGUGCCGCCUGGGAAGUACGGUCGCAAGGCUGAAACUUAAAGGAAUUGGCGGGGGGAGGCACCACAACGGGUGGAGCCUGCGGUUUAAAUUUGGACUCAACGCCGGGAAGGCUCACCGGAUAAGACAGCGGAAUGAUUGCCGGGCUGAAGACCCUGCAUGACCAGCUGAGAGGAGGUGCAUGGCGUAGUCGUGU
This 269-nucleotide ribosomal RNA is filed under the name uncultured archaeon. RNAcentral describes it as "partial 16S ribosomal RNA". It matches the Rfam family "Archaeal small subunit ribosomal RNA", at positions 747 to 1009 of the family's 1478-position model. The record is from RNAcentral.